AAAGGCUUAGGUUAACUAAGACCAAAGGCCUUCAAAGCCUUAAGCGGAAGUGAAAAUCCUCCAGCCUUUG
RNAcentral lists this transfer RNA (70 nucleotides) under Physiculus japonicus (Japanese codling). Its description in RNAcentral is "tRNA-Trp". It matches the Rfam family "tRNA". From Rfam's summary of the family: Transfer RNA (tRNA) molecules are approximately 80 nucleotides in length. The record is from RNAcentral. Lineage: Eukaryota; Metazoa; Chordata; Actinopteri; Gadiformes; Moridae.